This is a long non-coding RNA of Ficedula albicollis (Collared flycatcher), 1425 nucleotides long. RefSeq lists it as uncharacterized. The record is from RefSeq and is a predicted model, not a curated record. Lineage: Eukaryota; Metazoa; Chordata; Aves; Passeriformes; Muscicapidae. The transcript has 3 exons.
UUAAAGUAUGGGAUGUGGGGUUUUUAUUUUUAUGUCUUUGAUUCUUCUGCUUUCUCCCCCCUCAGCUUUUGCCAUCAGGUUCCAAUCAGAAUUUUACUGCUCUAUUUUUACCUCCUGUCUGUAAAAGCAGCAAAAAGCCCUAUUUUUCCCCUCUUGUGUAGAAGGAAAAAAAAAAAAAAAGAAGAUAAAUGGAUGUUACAUAAAUGGAGCCAGGGAGGGAGGUAGGAGACAUCCAGCGCUGCUGGAUGGGAAGGUUGUGGGGAAAGAAAGGAUGGAAUAGCUUGGCCUGAUCCAUCCUGCAUUGCCAGGAGUCACUGGUGAAAGAAAGGAUCUCUUCACAAUGCCUGGAGAUGGAGGAAGGCUGCUCUAGGAAGGGAAAGGAGACCUGUGGCAAGACAUGACCCUGAUUGAUAAUGGAAAAGUGAGGUUCCCUACAGAAAAAUCACACCCCAAAACCCCCAAAAUCCUGUACCCAGUAAAAUCAGUGGGGAGUUGUGCAAUGAACUCUACUGACACCAGGCUAUGGCUUUUACCAAUAUAUUCAUUAUAGGUUUGGUUUUACAAAUGGAGCUGCGAGGGGAAGGGUUGGGCUGGAGAAUGGCUCUAUUUACAAGGGUUUAUGGAGCAUGCAGGAGGGAAUUCUGGAGCCUUCCAAAAAGCUUCAAGGAGCCAGACAAUCAUUGUCCAUGAGGUGUCCAGAAGGGCCUGGAGUCUGCUGGGGGUUUGUGGCACAUGGGUGAAGAAAAGAGGGGAUAUACCUGGUUUGGGGUUGUGGGUUUGGGGCUGUGGGUUUGGGGCUGUGGGUCUGGGCUCAGUGGAGGCACCACUCUGCCCCGUGCUCCCCCCAUGUCUCCCCUCCACCUCCAUCUGCCCACACUCACUCCAGUACAAUCCCAGGCACAAAAUGAGUAUUCCUUGGUGGCAAGGAACAUUUAGACUUUUUUUUUUUUCCCACAGCUGACACCUUUCCACAGACCCCUGAGACCUAAAAGUGGGGAUGAGUUUCCUCAAAAUGAUCUCCAAGCUUGUUAUGUGCAAUGCCCAGCACAAAAAACAUGUCUGGGCUCCCCAGCACUGAGAAUCCCACCCCGGAAUAUCCCACAGAUAUUCUGCUGCUGCCCUAUAGCAAAUGCAAAUCUCUCCAUCUUCUGGGAGACAGAAUCAUUUUUAAUGGAGUAUUCUGCAGUUCACCUCUAUUGGUCACAGCAGAACAGAAAUGCGGGAGUUGUGUAUUUGGGAAAGUCAGAAAAAACCAACUUGGCUGCUGUGGAAAAGGUGUUGUCUUUGGGAUGGAGGGGACACCAGGAAAAUGGCAGGAAAAGGUGGAGGUGGGAGACAGAGACACCUAAAAGUGACUUGAGUUUAAAGGGGUGAUGGGAGGCAGAACAAGGAGCAGCAGAUUUUUAAAUUAGGCUGCUAAAAAUA